AAAUGUAUUUAUUUCUUGUCAAAUUCAAAUAAAUGGCUUCGCCUUUGAAUGAGCACCAUUAAAAAUUAAUGGAAUGCAGCGCCAGAGUACAAGCAGGUCCCAGAUACUCGUAGAUACAUACAUCCAACAGAAGAGCAUACUCUUCGAAUGAAACGCCGAGAGGAAAAUAAAUAUUCUAUGAGCAAUCCGCCUAGCAUCCAUCAACGGGAAGCCUUGACUUAAGUGCCAAUAUAGCGGACAGUAAAAGCAGGAACAGAUUAGGUUAGAGCUGAGACGGAGCUCCGCGAAAGUUAAUUCAGUCUACCAGUACUUCUGGGCACACGGUAGCGCUCCGAGAGUGGGCAGUAUUUGGGAUGAUAAAAGUUCCCAAAACUUUUGACCUCCGCGUCAGUGGGAUGCGCCCACUUAACCCAAUUUGACUGUCACUGCAAUUUGCUUUUGAUCUGCGAGGAGGACCAAAAGCGCUGCCUGGAAACGCUUUGGGACAGGGCAACGCUCUGGGAACCGAUGCUGGGAACCGAAGCGGGCCAGACACGAGUAAGCAACUGUCAUCGGGUGUUCCCAAGUCAAUGGCGUAGAAGAAAUUGAUUUGUUUUGAUUUAUCCCCAUGAACUUUGCCUUCUGUUCCACACCACACCACACCCAGUUGCCAUUGCUAGUCAGCCGUCGCUGCCUUUGCGUCCCCUUACUAGUGGUCCCGCUUGCCACUUUGCUGUCUUCGUUGCCCUCUAAGCAAAUUCGUCUGAUUGCUCCACGGACUGCUGCUGCUCCUGUCGUCCUCCUCCCAGCACCGUCCAUUCCUGGCCUGGCCUUCCACUGUCGCCGUGCUCAGGAUGCGUUGCUUCCAUAUUUUAUUGACCCAUUUUGUUCCGAACAAUAAAUGGCAAUUCUCGUCUGUUGACACAGUGGGGCUGGUCCCUGCCCCUGCCCCUGCCCCUGCCCCAUCCUCCAUCCAUUUCAGCCAAUAAAACUUGAUAUGUCACUGAUAUGACCGGCGCUCGCCCAAUUCUGUUCAGUGACCAAAUAAAU
Molecule: long non-coding RNA, 1029 nt
Organism: Drosophila pseudoobscura
Lineage: Eukaryota; Metazoa; Arthropoda; Insecta; Diptera; Drosophilidae
Exons: 3
Source: RefSeq, a predicted model, not a curated record